This 386-nucleotide small RNA is filed under the name Histoplasma capsulatum. RNAcentral's name for it is "hypothetical RNA". Lineage: Eukaryota; Fungi; Ascomycota; Eurotiomycetes; Onygenales; Ajellomycetaceae. The record is from RNAcentral. RNAcentral also lists the same sequence under 1 other name.
GGGCUUGAGGAGGCCAUUUUGGGGGGAGGAAGGGUGUUGGGCUGGGCUGUGUUGAGGAACUCCCUUUGCCAGGUAAUACUAAUCUGUAUGCAUAUGUGGAGACACGACGAGUUGGAGAUGUGUUGUGCUACAUGACAGGUUUGUGAUGAUGCACCGGGAUAUCAACAGCGCUAGCAGUGUCUUCGUAAGAACAAGCAGCGGGGACGAUGACAUCGCCCUCCAUGUUAAAGCGGAUAUCAAAAUCAGAUAUAAAAACAUCAAAAACACAUUAAUCGGAUAGGAUGUAAACGCGAUAGAAGCCCUCUUGUCCUUCUGUCUUCCCCCUUGGCUCUACUACACUACAUUGCGGAGCCAGCAAUUUACGGGGUCAACCACCACCACCACCC